RNAcentral lists this long non-coding RNA (1261 nucleotides) under Malus domestica (apple). RNAcentral's name for it is "long non-coding RNA (MDOM_LNC005584)". Lineage: Eukaryota; Viridiplantae; Streptophyta; Magnoliopsida; Rosales; Rosaceae. The record is from RNAcentral.
CCAAUGUAUUGCAAAGCCAAUCCUUUUUUUUUUUUUUUUUUUUCUAAAAGCUCUAAUCCCUUUUGCUUUGGAUGCCUUUUUUUUCAAUUCCAAUUCUUAUUAGCAAACGUCUACUUAGUUUAUGUAACUAUGAAUCUCCCAAGUUUACACGAUUCUGCUUUCCCUUUAAUCUUAAAAUUUUAACAAAUUCAAAACUUUUGGAUCAUCAAAUUCUCGAAUCUCAAUCAUUCAAUAGCAUAUCAAAAUUCAGAAUGCAAAAUAAUGAAAGGUUAAAUAUUUACUACACGAUUUUGAUCCAAACACAAUCCAAGAUCCAAACUUUAAACAAAAUUGAAACCCUAACAAUAUCAACCCUGAGAUAAUUUAUAGAGCAUAUCGAAAACAAAGCAUUUGUAUCACUGAAUUACCGAUUAAGCUCCGAAUCCGAACCCGAUCCGAACUAGGACCCAGACCUCAAGUUCCGCCACUAGAUCGGUGGAGGUACAGGUUGCCGAACACAUGAAGAGCCGUGAUGAAGCCAAUGAAGCAGAGGCUCAUGACGACAACAGUCGGGGGUACUAGUAGGGAGAUUUAGAGUGAUACUAGCAGUUGAUGAAGAUCAUUAAGUAAAAACUCAGAGGGCUAAGAAGCUCACCAUAAUUGCAGUUUUCUCAGAGAAAAAAAUGAAAAUCAGAAGUGAGAGAGAGGGAGAGAGAGAGAGAGAGAGAGAGAGAGAGAGAGAAAGGAAUCUUCCCAGAACAAGUACGAAAGGGAAGAAAGAACAAGGGGUAAAUGAGAGGAAAAUGGUGAAUAGGAAAAUUUUAGAUGGCUAAGAAUGGGUGGGGAGUUAGUCGGCACUCGUAGGUGGGACUCUGCCCAGAGAAUAAAGAGGAAGCCACAAGAAAUAGGAAUUCAGAAGGAUUUCACUUAAAUUUUGACAGGGCGGGAAUAUUGUGUGUAAUUCUACCACACUUAUUGAUCGUGGUAGAUAUAAAAAAAUCCAGUGUGGUUACGAACAAUAUACCACGUUGAAGGCCCGUGGGUUUAAUAUUUUUACAACGUGCUGACUAAGUCUGUGGUAUUAGAUUAUUUUAUCAUAACGGGUCAUUAUUUAUUCUUUAUAAAUAUUAUUAUCCACAACGUGCUUGCUAAGCCCGUGAUGAAUAUUCACUUUUUAUCACGCGCACAUAAAGCUCAUGGUAGAAUUGUCAUUCAAUUGUUAAAUGUUUUGUCUCUAAACUUAUUCAUCAAAUAUAUUAAAUAAUAUGACUUCUUGUGGUUU